UUCAUCAUCAUCAUCAUCAGUAGACAGAAAUGUCGACGCUUAUACCUCUCAUGGAAAGAUUUUUCCCAGAGAGCUUGUGAUCCUCGCGCAAGCCCAGCCACAUGCACGAGAUCCUCGCCAAGGCAGCUUGUCCCACCACUUUCACCCGGUAGACCAUGCUCAGAUCUGCAGCUGCUGCCCAUAACUCGUUCCCAGCAGCAACAUUCAUUGACCUCCUUGAGUCAUCAUCAUCAUAGCCUUCUACAUCCGAGUGGGUCACUACGACCACCGACCCGUCAUCAAACACGACCACAUUCCCAGAGCAAACCUGCUUCGUACUUCUCGGGAUCAGAGCUGAAGUUGCAUCGGUUAAGGAGCUCUGAGUGGUAUUCAGCACCCUGACAUUGUAGUACUCAAGAACAG
This 402-nucleotide long non-coding RNA is filed under the name Brassica napus (rape). Its description in RNAcentral is "long non-coding RNA (BNAP_LNC003724)". The record is from RNAcentral. Lineage: Eukaryota; Viridiplantae; Streptophyta; Magnoliopsida; Brassicales; Brassicaceae.